This 253-nucleotide ribosomal RNA is filed under the name uncultured bacterium. RNAcentral describes it as "partial 16S ribosomal RNA". It matches the Rfam family "Bacterial small subunit ribosomal RNA", at positions 524 to 776 of the family's 1533-position model. The record is from RNAcentral.
UACGUAGGUGGCAAGCGUUAUCCGGAAUUAUUGGGCGUAAAGCGCGCGCAGGCGGUUUCUUAAGUCUGAUGUGAAAGCCCCCGGCUCAACUGGGGAGGGUCACGCGAUACUGAUCGACUGGAAGGCAGGAGAGGGUAGUGGAAUUCCCGGUGUAGUGGUGAAAUGCGUAGAUAUCGGGAGGAACACCAGUGGCGAAGGCGACUACCUGGCCUGUUCUUGACGCUGAGGCGCGAAAGCUAGGGGAGCAAACGGG